UGGUGGGAAUGUAAACUAGUUCAACCAUUGUGGAAGUCAGUGUGGCGAUUCCUCAGGGAUGUAGAACUGGAAAUACCAUUUGACCCAGCCAUCCCAUUACUGGGUAUAUACCCAAAGGACUAUAAAUCAUGCUGCUAUAAAGACACAUGCACACGUAUGUUUAUUGCGGCACUAUUCACAAUAGCAAAGGCUUGGAACCAACCCAAAUAUCCAACAAUGAUAGACUGGAUUAAGAAAAUGUGGCACAUAUACACCAUGG
RNAcentral lists this long non-coding RNA (259 nucleotides) under Homo sapiens (human). RNAcentral describes it as "lncAB418.1". The record is from RNAcentral. Lineage: Eukaryota; Metazoa; Chordata; Mammalia; Primates; Hominidae.